This 446-nucleotide ribosomal RNA is filed under the name uncultured bacterium. RNAcentral's name for it is "partial 16S ribosomal RNA". It matches the Rfam family "Bacterial small subunit ribosomal RNA", at positions 338 to 795 of the family's 1533-position model. The record is from RNAcentral.
CCUACGGGGUGCAGCAGUCGAGACUCAUUCACAAUGGGGGAAACCCUGAUGGUGCGACGCCGCGUGGGGGAAUGAAGGUCUUCGGAUUGUAAACCCCUGUCAUGUGGGAGCAAAUUAAAAAGAUAGUACCACAAGAGGAAGAGCCGGCUAACUCUGUGCCAGCAGCCGCGGUAAUACAGAGGUCUCAAGCGUUGUUCGGAAUCACUGGGCGUAAAGCGUGCGUAGGCUGUUUCGGAAGUCGGGUGUGAAAGGCGCGGGCUCAACCCGAGGACGGCAAGUGAUACUGCGAGACUAGAGUAAAGGAGGGGGAACCGGAAUUCUCGGUGUAGCAGUGAAAUGCGUAGAUAUCGAGAGGAACACUCGUGGCGAAGGCGGGUUCCUGGACAUUAACUGACGCUGAGGCACGAAGGCCAGGGGAGCGAAAGGGAUUAGAUACCCUGGUAGUC